Molecule: transfer RNA, 84 nt
Rfam family: tRNA
About the family: Transfer RNA (tRNA) molecules are approximately 80 nucleotides in length.
Source: Rfam
GCGGGCGUGGCGGAAUUGGCAGACGCGUAUGCUUCAGGUGCAUAUGAGGGUUCCCUCGUGAAGGUUCAAGUCCUUUCGCCCGCA